UGCGUCGUGAAACAGUAAACUUUGACCUGGAGACGACCUCUUCUCUUUCCCCCUCCCUUGUUGGGAAGAUGGCGCUGUCCAGGGUGUGCUGGACUCGGGCUGCUCUGUGGGGUUCGGCUGUCGCCCCUGGACCUGUUGUCACCCGGAGGCUACAACUUGGUCGCUCCGGGCUUGCUUGGGAAGCCUUCCGGUCUUCGAAACUUCACCUUUCUCCAAAGUCAGAUAUGAAGAGCUUGAUCUCUUAUGUGGUGACCAAGACAAAAGUGAUUAACGGGAAAUACCAUCGUUUCUUGGGUCGUCAUUUUCCCCGCUUCUAUGUCCUGUACACAAUCUUCAUGAAAGGAUUACAGAUGUUUUGGGCUGAUGCCAAAAAAGCUAGAAGAAUAAAGACAAAUAUGUGGAAGCAAAGUAUAAAGUUUCAUCAACUUCCAUACCGGGAGAUGGAGCAUUUGAGACAGUUCCGUCAAGACGUCACGAAGUGUCUUUUCUUAGGUAUCAUUUCCAUCCCACCCUUUGCCAACUACCUGGUCUUCUUGCUAAUGUACUUGUUUCCUAGGCAACUACUGAUCAGACAUUUUUGGACCCCCAAACAACAAAUUGAUUUCUUAGAUAUCUAUCAUGCUCUCCGGAAGCAGUCCCACUCAGAAAUCAUUAGUUAUUUAGAAAGGGUCAUCCCUCUCGUUUCUGACGCAGGGCUCCAGUGGCAUCUGACAGAACUAUGCACCAAGAUACAGAAUGGUACCCACCCAGCAGUACAAGAUAUCCUGACUCUCAGAGAGUGUUUCUCUAACCACCCUCUGGGCAUAAACCAACUCCAGGCUUGGCAAAUGAAAGCCUUGAGCCGGGCCAUGCUUCUCACACCUUACCUGCCUCCUCCCUUGUUGAGACAUCGUUUGAAGACUCAUACCACUGUGAUUCACCAGCUGGACAGGGCUUUGGCAAAACUGGGGAUUGGCCAGCUCUCUGCUCAAGAAGUAAAAUUGGCUUGCUAUCUCCGUGGCCUGAAUUCUACCCAUAUUGCUGAAGACAGGUGUCGAACUUGGCUGGGGGAAUGGCUACAGAUUUCCUGCAGCCUGAAAGUUAGGACAACCAAAAAUAUCUCCAGACGUUGCCAAAUGUUCCUGGGGCUGAGAGAGCAAAGCGCCAGGCAGAACUGUCCUAGUUGAGAAGCAGUAAUCUACAGACAUCACACUUACAACAAAAAUGCUGUACUGGCUGGAAAAAGUUAUCAAGCUUGAGGAAACCGAGCUGUCCCUCUUGCUGCACAACGUGGUCCUGCUUUCUACCAACUACCUUGGGACAAGGCGCUGAGUGAACCAUGGAAUGGACGCCACUGUCCUGCAGUCAUAUAAUAUAGCAGUGUGGGACCAAAGAGCACUUGUCUGCAGUCUGUGUGCACGGUUAGGUGUGCAGGAGGCCAAGGAGCAGGUGCCAUGGGCUUCACAGUUGUCACCCUUGUGGGAACUAGACAUUCCGCUUACAGCUCAAACUAGAGCCCUUUUCAAGGGUGGCCCAUUUGAGGUGUCACAUGUCUCCCUCAUAGUAAGCUGGAGUUGGCAGCAACCUCUGUACUAGGCUUUUGCCAUGACGUGUCACUUUCAGGUCCUAUAUAGUAUUUUGCCCUUGGGGGAAUCAUUUCACGUAAGAUCCAUCAGCUCCCAUGUUCUUGACAACUGGUGCGUUUUUCUGUUAAAGAACUUCCAGCUGGUGCGAACAUUACUAGUGAGCCUGGAUCAUUUAUAUCCAUGCAUGUACUUCCUUCAGUGCUCCUUUUUUUUCUUUUUGGUACCAGGGAUCAAACUCAGGACCUUUUGGUUGCCAGGCAGGCACAGUGCCAUUGAGCUACAUCCCCGGCCCACCUUUGCCUCAUUUCUGAUAUGACUAAAAGCAGGAUUUUUUGGUCCUCCUCACUGGUGUGGGUUAACUAUUCCUUUUCCUUACAAAUUCCUUUGAACAUUUUUUUUUGGUUACCAGGGAUCAAACUCAGGACCUUGCGCUUGUGAGACAGGUGCAGUGCCACUGAGCUAAAUCCUCAGCUCCUGAAAAAAAAUUUUUUUUUUAAUGACUUAUGGGAACAUUCUGAAGGGAAUGAUUAAAAAGGAAGUGCUGCUUGACCUCUUCCCCAAGGUUUACAGCCUUCACUCCCACAUUGUCUUAACUUUUGGGCUGUUGGACAGCCCCUAAGGGUCUUCAAUUCUUUGCUACCUCCACUGUGUUGCAGAAUCCAACUGUAACUGACAGUGGCUUCUUUGGGCCAUGGGUCAAAACCUUAAGGUACUGAUUACUGCCCUGGAAGACCAGGAAAGAUCUGCAUCAAGACAGUAAGUUGGACAUGGCUUUUGUGUGUACUUCCAUGAUCUGUAGUUCUAUAAUAACUUAUUCUAAUGCAUGAAGCACUGUUUUUAAACUCAAGUAAAGACUACCUGAAACCAGCUGAUGAAGAUUACUUAUAUACACUCUAA
Heterocephalus glaber (naked mole-rat) is the source of this 2462-nucleotide RNA transcript. It is a transcript of the gene named LETM1 domain containing 1, with no coding region annotated. The record is from RefSeq and is a predicted model, not a curated record. NCBI's taxonomy places the organism in Eukaryota, Metazoa, Chordata, Mammalia, Rodentia, Bathyergidae.